RNAcentral lists this ribosomal RNA (495 nucleotides) under uncultured bacterium. Its description in RNAcentral is "partial 16S ribosomal RNA". It matches the Rfam family "Bacterial small subunit ribosomal RNA", at positions 28 to 507 of the family's 1533-position model. The record is from RNAcentral.
GACGAACGCUGGCGGCGUGCCUAAUACAUGCAAGUAGAACGCUGAAGGAGGAGCUUGCUCUUCUGGAUGAGUUGCGAACGGGUGAGUAACGCGUAGGUAACCUGCCUGGUAGCGGGGGAUAACUAUUGGAAACGAUAGCUAAUACCGCAUAACAGUAGAUGUUGCAUGACAUUUGCUUAAAAGGUGCAAUUGCAUCACUACCAGAUGGACCUGCGUUGUAUUAGCUAGUUGGUGGGGUAACGGCUCACCAAGGCGACGAUACAUAGCCGACCUGAGAGGGGGAUCGGCCACACUUGGACUGAGACACGGCCCAGACUCCUACGGGAGGCAGCAGUAGGGAAUCUUCGGCAAUGGACGGAAGUCUGACCGAGCAACGCCGCGUGAGUGAAGAAGGUUUUCGGAUCGUAAAGCUCUGUUGUAAGAGAAGAACGAGUGUGAGAGUGGAAAGUUCACACUGUGACGGUAUCUUACCAGAAAGGGAUGGCUAACUACGUG